Long non-coding RNA from Macaca mulatta (Rhesus monkey), 2471 nucleotides. RefSeq lists it as uncharacterized. The record is from RefSeq and is a predicted model, not a curated record. Lineage: Eukaryota; Metazoa; Chordata; Mammalia; Primates; Cercopithecidae.
CUCGAACUCCUGACCUCCAGUGAUCCUCCUGCCUUGGCCUCCCAAAGUGCUGGGAUUACAGGUGUCAGCCACCGUGCCCAGCUAACAUUUUAUAGCUUUGAAUUGCCAAAGUUUGCAAUGAGGUCAGCUGCCUUCACCCCAUAUUUUAACACUUUGGGGAAAGAGGAUUUCUGGCCUUCCAUGAAAAAAAAAAACAACCUAAAGAUAAGGUUGGAGAGAUGACAAUGUAGUGGGAAGACAAGGGGAAAAGGGAACACCUAGAUCUAGAACCUGGAAGUAUCUCUUAGGGUGUUUUCACUUGUGCUCACCUGGAGCUUCUAAUACUUCCGGAGGGCUUGAAACCAACUUUUUCUUGCUGGUGUGAGCUGACUGGGUGUCAAUACUAGGGUCACAAAUAUGAAUGAUACAUACAUAUAAAUGCAGAGAGGAUUGGAAAGAUUCCUACCAAGCUGAGUAAAAAGAGGAGUAUACUGGGUGGGGGAGAUGAGAAGAGACUUUGUUUUCUUCUAAUACAGGAGGUACCAAUUGCUUGAAGUGAAUGCAGGCAGCCUGGCUCCAGGACCUAUACUCUUUGCUAUGGGAUCUCUUCAUCUGUCUGCAUCCCUGCUGCCCUUAUGCCACUGGGAUCAGCCAACACAAUGGGCAAACCAUAAAGCCAGGUGAUCUUUGUAGUUCCUCCAUUAACUAUGAUUAUCUAUGAUUAUCUUACAGAAAAAAAGGAAAUGCCAAAGGGAAAAGCAAAAAGGAACAGACAUAUCCAGUUUCAAUACAUUCUCUUUAAACAAACCAGGUUUAUUUGCAGAAUACUGCGUUUCUGUUUUUCAUUGCUUGUUUGCUUUUCCUGAUGAAAAGUUUCUUACCUAACGAGCUGACCUUUCUUCUGGAUAAAAUGAACAAAGAAGUUGGCGAACAAUGAUGCCAUGAAUCUUACUCUUUGCAGAGUUUCUAAAACAGGAUCUAACUUUCGACCCAAACAAGUUGACAAGGUUCCUAUAAGCCACAAUUUCUCCGGCAGAUUUAGAGGCGAAAGUUUAAAGAGAAGAUAAAAGGAAGGCUCUUGCAGAAACCCUGUUCCCUCCACUCUCUGAUGAAGUCAACGCGAGAACGCCCGCACCUCACCUCGGCACUCCACGUCAGGGUCUCCCCAGAAGAGUUCCUGGCACUCGCUGCAGGUGCGGCCUCCAAACCCAGGCAUGCACUGGCACUGCCCUGUGAACUGUGGCCAGAACACAGACCUUAGUCAAGCAGGCUUCAGGCCAGAAGCCAGUUGUCAUCUUUUUUUUCUAGCUGCCAGUUAGAAGUGGGAAUGAACUGUUCACCUGAGAAGGUCUCCAUUGACUAGGAAAAGGGACUUCUGCUUCGAUCGUAGGUGUCGAGAGCCCCAUGCCAGCAUCUAACUGCUCUUUUGCAGCAGGGCUUGGAAAGGUCUGUGGCAUAUUAUUGUUUAUUUACCUGUUCCCUCACUUUUAUCCUCACAGAUCAGCCACAAUCCUGGGCCACCUUUGACUCGCCUGACUUAGGGAGUAUGUCCUCCUUAGUAUGUGUCAGGAAACAACAGCACUUUUUACAAUGCUGGGUAUGGCUAAUUGGUUCCUUUCAAGUUGAGAAGCUAAGAAAAAAGUCUGCUUCAGCGGCCAGGUACUGAAGAGAAGAAGAGAAAUAGCACACCCUUGUCUAUUCUUAUGUGAGUCUGCAUCUGCAGCUGGGACCCUCUAUUGAAAUGCUAUGGGUGUGUCUGAUGGGGAGUCUGUGCACAGUUAUAUAGACCCAGCCAAGGGGUACAAAUGAGGGCUGAGAUCCAGGCCACGCUGUGUUUGCCAAGCCAUGUGCCCUGGGGCCUUGCUGUAACUGGGGCAAAGUCACCAUAAGCUGACCCCUGGGCUCAUAAAGGCAUCAUCCCCAGCAGCAGUCCCUCACCUCAUUGCAAGAUGGCCCGAAGGAAUGAGCAGUGUUGCAGUUGCAUGGGUCACAGCCAGUGCCACUGGCCAGCUGCCAGGUAUUAGGUGCACAGCGGUCACAGUUCUGCCCGAUCACAUUAGGAAGACACAAGCACUGACCAGUGGCUUUGUCGCACUGGCAGUCAGAGCCGUUACAGUGCUCUUGCACGGUGCCCAGGUAAUUACAGACACACUCUGAAAAAGAAUAUCACAUUUACUUAUUGUCACACUCCCAAAUACACAGGCAUGCAGAGACGUUAGCCACAUCUAAACGCUAAGAUGUUCCCACUUCAGAUCCUGACCUUGAAAUGCAAAGAAGGAAAGAAAUGGAGGUGAUUCAAAAAGAAAGCUAAAAUUAUUGUUGUUUAGAAGUUCUCAUGAUGUCUUACACAGUUCUGACAUUUCCCAGAUACACACAAUGAUACAUUUCACCUAAAAGUAUGUUCAAAAUACACAGAUUUGACAAGAUGCUGGUGAGUCAUUUUAAAAUUGAAGGUUUAACUGGAAAUAAUAAAAAAAAAAUGCCAGUGGGAA